UCCCCUCUACCUCCAUGGCUUCAGGCACCAUCACCAGAAUGUCACUCCUGCAUCCUCACCUGCCUCCUAGAUCAGCUUUACCGGGAAUCCAACUGCACACUCGCCACACACACACAAGAUCGGGCUCACUGUCUUAUUCCAAAGCAACUGCCCUUCCUCCAUUCUCUCUCUUGAGGAGUGUUUCCGAAGCCUCCAGCAUCACCUGGUCUCCCAGAUGAAACCUGAGGGUCGGACUCUCCAUGUGAGUCCCUUGAAGCAGAAAGGAAGACACAGAACCUAUGACCAUGCCUUGGCGCACACGCUGUACCCAGUACUCAGCAAGUGACAUGACAGAGCUCGUGGUUGAGCUCCUCCUCCUGCUCUCAUCUUUGGCAUCACCGGAGAACACAGAGGUGAGACCAUAAAAUCUAUGUCUUGGGACUUCCCUGGCGGUCCAGUGGUAAAGAAUCCGCUUUCCAAUGCAGGGGAUGCGGGUUCGAUCCCUGGUCGGGGAACUAAGAUCCCACAUGCCUCGGGGCAACUAAGCCUGUGCGCCACAACUACUGAGCUUGUGCGCCUCAAAGAGAGAGCCCACGCGCUGCAAACUACAGAGCCCACGCACCCUGGAGCCCGCACUACACAACUAGAGAGAGAAAAACCCGCAUGCCACAGCUAAAGAGAAGCCCGUGUGCUGCAACGAAAGAACCCGCAGGCCUCAACCAAGAUCCCGCGUGCCUCAACUAAGACCUGACGCAGCCAAAUAAAUAAACAAAUAUUAAAAAAAAAAAA
Long non-coding RNA from Lagenorhynchus albirostris (white-beaked dolphin), 768 nucleotides. RefSeq lists it as uncharacterized. The transcript has 3 exons. NCBI's taxonomy places the organism in Eukaryota, Metazoa, Chordata, Mammalia, Artiodactyla, Delphinidae. The record is from RefSeq and is a predicted model, not a curated record.